RNAcentral lists this ribosomal RNA (219 nucleotides) under uncultured bacterium. RNAcentral describes it as "partial 16S ribosomal RNA". It matches the Rfam family "Bacterial small subunit ribosomal RNA", at positions 118 to 347 of the family's 1533-position model. The record is from RNAcentral.
UGGGAAUCUGCCCUCAGGUACGGAAUAACUCAGGGAAACUUGAGCUAAUACCGCAUAAUGUCUUCGGACCAAAGAUUUAUCGCCUGGGGAUGAGCCCGCGUAGGAUUAGCUUGUUGGUGAAGGUAAAAGCUCACCAAGGCGACGAUCCUUAGCUGGUCUGAGAGGAUGAUCAGCCACACGUGGGACUGAGACACGGCCCAGACCUCCGUACGGGAGCAG